This 707-nucleotide ribosomal RNA is filed under the name uncultured bacterium. Its description in RNAcentral is "bacterial SSU rRNA". It matches the Rfam family "Bacterial small subunit ribosomal RNA", at positions 54 to 791 of the family's 1533-position model. The record is from RNAcentral.
CAUGCAGUCGAGCGAUUUACUUCGGUAAAGAGCGGCGGACGGGUGAGUAACGCGUGGGUAACCUGCCUCAUACACAUGGAUAACAUACCGAAAGGUAUGCUAAUACAGGAUAAUAUAAGAGAUUCACAUGGAUUUUUUAUCAAAGCUCCGGCGGUAUGAGAUGGACCCGCGUCUGAUUAGCUAGUUGGUAAGGUAAUGGCUUACCAAGGCGACGAUCAGUAGCCGACCUGAGAGGGUGAUCGGCCACAUUGGAACUGAGACACGGUCCAAACUCCUACGGGAGGCAGCAGUGGGGAAUAUUGCACAAUGGGCGAAAGCCUGAUGCAGCAACGCCGCGUGAGUGAUGAAGGCCUUCGGGUCGUAAAACUCUGUCCUCAAGGAAGAUAAUGACGGUACUUGAGGAGGAAGCCCCGGCUAACUACGUGCCAGCAGCCGCGGUAAUACGUAGGGGGCUAGCGUUAUCCGGAUUUACUGGGCGUAAAGGGUGCGUAGGUGGUUUUUUAAGUCAGGAGUGAAAGGCUACGGCUCAACCGUAGUAAGCUCUUGAAACUGGAAAACUUGAGUGCAGGAGAGGAAAGUGGAAUUUCCUAGUGUAGCGGUGAAAUGCGUAGAUAUUAGGAGGAACACCAGUAGCGAAGGCGGCUUUCUGGACUGUAACUGACACUGAGCACGAAGCGGUGGGGGAGCAAACAGGAUAGAUACCUGGU